CCGUUCAUGUGGCCUAGUGUUUAGAGCGUCCGCCUCGGAUGCGGAAGUUCGUGGGUUCGAUCCCUGAUCAAGUAGU
Non-coding RNA from Potamilus streckersoni, 76 nucleotides. Lineage: Eukaryota; Metazoa; Mollusca; Bivalvia; Unionida; Unionidae. The record is from the annotation of a GenBank genome assembly.